UAUAUUUGCUGCUUUGAUGAAAACUCAUCAAUAUACAUAAUAAUCAUUUAAAUAAUAUUGGAAUG
RNAcentral lists this non-coding RNA (65 nucleotides) under Tenacibaculum maritimum NCIMB 2154. RNAcentral describes it as "S15-Flavobacteria ribosomal protein leader". It matches the Rfam family "S15-Flavobacteria ribosomal protein leader". Lineage: Bacteria; Pseudomonadati; Bacteroidota; Flavobacteriia; Flavobacteriales; Flavobacteriaceae. The record is from RNAcentral.